This is an RNA transcript of Misgurnus anguillicaudatus (oriental weatherfish), 1602 nucleotides long. RefSeq lists it as uncharacterized. The record is from RefSeq and is a predicted model, not a curated record. Lineage: Eukaryota; Metazoa; Chordata; Actinopteri; Cypriniformes; Cobitidae.
CCAAUAGGAUCGCAGUAGCUUUUCCACACACAGCUUUCAAACAUGGCGAAGCGCAAGAGAGAGAAUGGUGCUGCUAGGUGGGACAGUGUAAUGGAGGGAAGGUUUAUUGAGCUAUGGCAACAAUACUCCUGUCUCUAUGAUGUCUCCGCGAGGGACUACCACGACAGAAUCAUAAAAGAUCAAUGUUGGCAAGCGAUAUCGGAAGAGCUCCAUCAACCCGUUGUUGAGGUCCAAACAAAAGCUACUUCUCUCCGAACACAAUAUUCCAGAAUACUUCAUCCAAAGAACGGAGACAAAGAAUUAACUUCCAGACAGAGAUGGAUUUUAAAUAGCCUGCAGUUUCUACAACCUUUUAUUGUCCAGCGAGGAUCUCAGUCUGCAUUGACUCUGGAUGACUUGGAACACAGCAUCACAGAUGAGGGUGCAGAAGACCAGCAGGAGAUAGAGAAAGAUGUGUCCGAAUCGUCCACGUCCACCCCUCACCACACAUCUAGGCCGUCAACUCCACUAACCUUACCUGAAGCUUCAUCAUCCCACCAUCGUCAGGUUGCAAACAACAAUCCAGAGAGACCGCAUUAUAGCAAGUCCAAAAAAAAGUCGAGAGACAUAUCACUGGAUGAACUUGAAAGGGAAAAAGUGAACAUUUUAAAAAAUGUGUCUGAAACGCUUCUAGAUGUCAGUCAUGAUGUUGAUGAAACAUUUGGCAGACAGGUGAUAACUGAGAUGAAGCUGAUCAAAAACCCACUGACCAAGAUGAGACUGCGUCGCAACAUCCUUAUGAUGUUAUACGAUGCACAUGAACAUGAGAUGAGAUUACAGUCACAUUCAGACUCCCAGCAAGCCUUCUGGCCCCAAACACCUUGGCAGGGACACACAAAUCAGAAACAAAACAUUCAGACCGUGGAUGACGAUCUGCAUGCGCGUGUCCCCCCUGUCCAACCGGCUCCUGCGCAUACUGAAAAUGAUGUAUCCGCAAGGAAUUCAGUGGCUGAGCAGGAAGGGAAAUAUUUAGCUACUGAAAAAGACGAAGAGGUUGAAAAUGAUGCAUCCAAAAUAAAUUCAGUGACUGAGAGCUGGUUAUUUUAAAAAGAGGAAGGUUUGCAAACACAUAUCGACUUUACUUGAAAUCGCUUGAACACACAGAAUGAAAGUUUUUGCUGAAAAGCCUGUUUCUGUAAGAAGGUUGAAAAUGAUUUAUUCAUACAAUGAUUUCAGUCACUAAGCUGCCGUGGAAAGAGCUGGUUGUUAAAAAAGAAGAAGAAAUUGAAAAUGAUCUGUCCUCACUAAAUUCGCAGAGCAGCAGUGGAUAGAGCAGAUUAUUAAAAAAGAAGAGAACAAAGCCAAAGUGGAGUUGAACUGUGAACCAGACUGAUGGUUACAACCACAACCCCCAAGCAAGAGGUGAAGAGAAGAAACAUUUUACCAAGACUUUAUACUUGAUCUUUAAGGGCAAAGGAGGCAACCACUAUUCGGUUGAAUAUAGUUCUUGUGGGACAAUGGUGUACAAAGAUCAUUAGGAGUGACAGAAAUGAUCUCACUCACUAGAUGACUGAUACUUGUAAAUAACAUAAGUAGCAUAAAUAAAUAUUGUUUUUAACAGUU